RNAcentral lists this ribosomal RNA (484 nucleotides) under uncultured bacterium. RNAcentral's name for it is "partial 16S ribosomal RNA". It matches the Rfam family "Bacterial small subunit ribosomal RNA", at positions 29 to 523 of the family's 1533-position model. The record is from RNAcentral.
AGUGAACGCUGGCGGCGUGCUUAACACAUGCAAGUCGAACGAGAACGGAUUAUAGCUUGCUAUAAUUGUCAGCUAAGUGGCGCACGGGUGAGUAAUGUAUAGGUAAUAUGCCUCUUACUAAGGGAUAACAAAUGGAAACGUUUGCUAAUACCUUAUACUCCUUAUUAACAGAAGUUAAUAAGGGAAAGAUUUAUUGGUAAGAGAUUAGCCUGUAUUGUAUCAGUUAGUUGGUGGGGUAAUGGCUUACCAAGACUAUGACACAUAACUGGUUUGAGAGGAUGAUCAGUCACACUGGAACUGAGGCCCGGUCCAGACUCCUACGGGAGGCAGCAGUGGGGAAUAUUGCACAAUGGACGAAAGUCUGAUGCAGCAACGCCGCGUGGAGGAUGACACAUUUCGGUGCGUAAACUCCUUUUAUAUGAGAAGAUAAUGAUGGUACUAUAUGAAUAAGCACCGGCUAACUCCGUGCCAGCAGCCGCCGUAA